CCUACUGGUGGCAGCAGUGAGGAAUAUUGGUCAAUGGGCGCGAGCCUGAACCAGCCAAGUAGCGUGAAGGAUGACUGCCCUACGGGUUGUAAACUUCUUUUAUAAAGGAAUAAAGUGAGGCACGUGUGCCUUUUUGUAUGUACUUUAUGAAUAAGGAUCGGCUAACUCCGUGCCAGCAGCCGCGGUAAUACGGAGGAUCCGAGCGUUAUCCGGAUUUAUUGGGUUUAAAGGGAGCGUAGGUGGGUUGUUAAGUGAGUUGGGAAAGUUUGGGGCUCAACCGUAAAAUUGCAGUUGAUACUGGCAGUCUUGAGUACAGUUGAGGUAGGCGGAAUGCGUGGUGUAGCGGUGAAAUGCUUAGAUAUCACGAAGAACUCCGAUUGCGAAGGCAGCUUGCUAAACUGCCACUGACAUUGAUGCUCGAAAGUGUGGGUAUCGAACAGGAUUAGAUACCCGAGUAGUC
RNAcentral lists this ribosomal RNA (460 nucleotides) under uncultured bacterium. RNAcentral's name for it is "partial 16S ribosomal RNA". It matches the Rfam family "Bacterial small subunit ribosomal RNA", at positions 338 to 795 of the family's 1533-position model. The record is from RNAcentral.